This 482-nucleotide ribosomal RNA is filed under the name uncultured bacterium. Its description in RNAcentral is "partial 16S ribosomal RNA". It matches the Rfam family "Bacterial small subunit ribosomal RNA", at positions 30 to 507 of the family's 1533-position model. The record is from RNAcentral.
AUUGAACGCUGGCGGCAUGCUUUACACAUGCAAGUCGAACGGUAACAGGCCGCAAGGUGCUGACGAGUGGCGAACGGGUGAGUAAUGCAUCGGAACGUGCCCAGUCGUGGGGGAUAACUACUCGAAAGAGUAGCUAAUACCGCAUACGAUCUAUGGAUGAAAGCGGGGGACCGUAAGGCCUCGCGCGAUUGGAGCGGCCGAUGUCAGAUUAGGUAGUUGGUGGGGUAAAGGCUCACCAAGCCAACGAUCUGUAGCUGGUCUGAGAGGACGACCAGCCACACUGGGACUGAGACACGGCCCAGACUCCUACGGGAGGCAGCAGUGGGGAAUUUUGGACAAUGGGCGCAAGCUUGAUCCAGCAAUGCCGCGUGCAGGAAGAAGGCCUUCGGGUUGUAAACUGCUUUUGUACGGAACGAAACGGCUCUGGUUAAUACCCGGGGCUAAUGACGGUACCGUAAGAAUAAGCACCGGCUAACUACGUG